AAGUCGUAACAAGGUUUCCGUAGGUGAACCUGCGGAAGGAUCAUUAGUGAAUGAAAGGGGACCCUCAUGCUAUGAAACUUGAGUGGAACCCAACCUUCUCACUACUCCGGGGAGGGGUUUGGUCUUAGGGCCAGCCCUGAUCCGAGGGUACUCCUAUCCACUAAGGAGUCUUGGAUGGGUAACGUCUGAGGCUCUGGAUAGGAUGCCCGCCAGGCUGGGGAGCUUAGGCUCUUUGGCUGAUUUCUUUAGAAUCAACAGUUAUGUAUGUCUAUGUAUUUGUUUUAAACCAAUACAACUUUCAGCAACGGAUCUCUUGGCUCUC
RNAcentral lists this unclassified non-coding RNA (322 nucleotides) under fungal sp. RNAcentral's name for it is "partial internal transcribed spacer region". The stretch from base 1 to 46 matches the Rfam family "Eukaryotic small subunit ribosomal RNA", at positions 1786 to 1831 of the family's 1831-position model. Lineage: Eukaryota; Fungi. The record is from RNAcentral.